This 583-nucleotide ribosomal RNA is filed under the name Botryosphaeria dothidea. RNAcentral's name for it is "eukaryotic LSU rRNA". The stretch from base 211 to 364 matches the Rfam family "5.8S ribosomal RNA". Lineage: Eukaryota; Fungi; Ascomycota; Dothideomycetes; Botryosphaeriales; Botryosphaeriaceae. The record is from RNAcentral.
UCCGUAGGUGAACCUGCGGAAGGAUCAUUACCGAGUUGAUUCGGGCUCCGGCCCGAUCCUCCCACCCUUUGUGUACCUACCUCUGUUGCUUUGGCGGGCCGCGGUCCUCCGCGGCCGCCCCCCUCCCCGGGGGGGUGGCCAGCGCCCGCCAGAGGACCAUCAAACUCCAGUCAGUAAACGAUGCAGUCUGAAAAACAUUUAAUAAACUAAAACUUUCAACAACGGAUCUCUUGGUUCUGGCAUCGAUGAAGAACGCAGCGAAAUGCGAUAAGUAAUGUGAAUUGCAGAAUUCAGUGAAUCAUCGAAUCUUUGAACGCACAUUGCGCCCUUUGGUAUUCCGAAGGGCAUGCCUGUUCGAGCGUCAUUACAACCCUCAAGCUCUGCUUGGUAUUGGGCACCGUCCUUUGCGGGCGCGCCUCAAAGACCUCGGCGGUGGCGUCUUGCCUCAAGCGUAGUAGAACAUACAUCUCGCUUCGGAGCGCAGGGCGUCGCCCGCCGGACGAACCUUCUGAACUCUUCUCAAGGUUGACCUCGGAUCAGGUAGGGAUACCCGCUGAACUUAAGCAUAUCAAUAAGCGGAGGA